This 434-nucleotide ribosomal RNA is filed under the name uncultured bacterium. RNAcentral's name for it is "partial 16S ribosomal RNA". It matches the Rfam family "Bacterial small subunit ribosomal RNA", at positions 29 to 507 of the family's 1533-position model. The record is from RNAcentral.
AGCGAACGCUGGCGGCAGGCCUAACACAUGCAAGUCGAACGAAGCAGUCGGGGUUAGUGGCGGAGGGGUGGGUACCACGUGGGAACGUGCCCUUAGGUAAGGAAUAACUCAGGGAGAGAUGUGCUAAUACCGCAUGUGCUCUUCGGGGGAAAGAUUUAUCGCCUUUAGAGGGGCCGGCGGCUGGUUAGCUAGUUGGGUGGGGUAGUGGCGCACCAAGGCGACGAGCAGUAGCCGGUCUGAGAGGAUGAGCAGCAAGAUUGUGACUGAGACACGGCCCAAACGCCUGCGGUAGUCAGCAGUGGGGAAUCUUGCGCAAUGGGCGAAAGCCUGACGCAGCCAUGCCGCGUGAAUUAUGAAGGUCUUAGGAUUGUAAAAUUCUUUCACCGGGGACGAUAAUGACGGUACCCGGAGAAGAAGCCCCGGCUAACUUCGUG